AUGAGCUUUUGGGGAGCAACAGUAAUUACAAGCUUAGCUAGCGCCAUACCAAUAGUAGGAGAUACCAUAGUGACUUGGCUUUGGGGUGGUUUCUCCGUGGACAAUGCCACCUUAAAUCAUUUUUUUAGUCUCCAUCAUUUACUCGCCCUUGUUCUUCCUUUUGAUUUAAACGUUCUCCCCCUGGGAGCUGCAGAAUUCUGGCAGGGGCAGCCCCCUUUUCCAGAUCAUGAAAAUGUGGUGGAGAGUGAUGAUUCAUCAACUGAUUCAUCAGGGAGUUCAUCUGAUGAUUCAUCAACUGAUUCAUCGGAUCUCGACACGGAUUAUGAUGAGAUAACUGAUGAUUCAUCAACUGAUUCAUCAGGGAGUUCAUCUGAUGAUUCAUCAACUGAUUCAUCAGGGAGUUCAUCUGAUGAUAUGGACUGCUCUGAAGGAACACCCCCCUGA
Molecule: ribosomal RNA, 444 nt
Filed under: Triticum aestivum (bread wheat)
Lineage: Eukaryota; Viridiplantae; Streptophyta; Magnoliopsida; Poales; Poaceae
Description: partial small subunit ribosomal RNA
Source: RNAcentral